This 72-nucleotide transfer RNA is filed under the name Bos taurus (domestic cattle). It matches the Rfam family "tRNA". Rfam says of the family: Transfer RNA (tRNA) molecules are approximately 80 nucleotides in length. Their secondary structure includes four short double-helical elements and three loops (D, anti-codon, and T loops). Lineage: Eukaryota; Metazoa; Chordata; Mammalia; Artiodactyla; Bovidae. RNAcentral also lists the same sequence under 4 other names. The record is from Rfam by way of RNAcentral.
UCCCUGGUGGCUCAGUGGUAAAGAAUCUGCCUGCCAAUGCAGGAGACAUGGGUUCAACCCCUGGUCAGGGAA